AUGAGAGUGCAUCGUUCAGAGAACUUUCAUUGGUGCCAUACUGCCAUGGUGUACCAUAGGACAGACCUGCUGCUGAGUGUGGAAGAAAUAGCAAGCAAUAAAAAGACCAUGAACUGUAAGUUAGCAAUCCUAACAUUUACAUUUAUACUUAAAUUAGCUAGGUUUGCAAACUGCGAUCCAGGAGGAGGCACCCAUAUCUCAAAACCAAUAGGGCAUUUGUGUUCGAACAUGAAACAAGUUGACAAUAAAUGGAUAUUUUGGAACAUGAGCAGAAAACAACAGUCCGAUUUACCAGCUUUAAAGACUGGAACAAUGGCAGGGAGUAUCGUUUUUCUUCCCCAGUUCAGCACCAGCGGUAAACCCCUAAAAAUAAUACCCAUGACAGUAGGGAAUCAACAGCAAGACAGUGCAUGCAUGAGAUUGAAAAAGAAGAUUUUACACAAGGCGUUGCUAGUGACAAUUAUGUUUUGA
RNAcentral lists this ribosomal RNA (471 nucleotides) under Triticum aestivum (bread wheat). RNAcentral describes it as "partial small subunit ribosomal RNA". The record is from RNAcentral. Lineage: Eukaryota; Viridiplantae; Streptophyta; Magnoliopsida; Poales; Poaceae.